Molecule: ribosomal RNA, 548 nt
Filed under: uncultured Actinomycetes bacterium
Lineage: Bacteria; Bacillati; Actinomycetota; Actinomycetes
Description: bacterial SSU rRNA
Rfam family: Bacterial small subunit ribosomal RNA
Source: RNAcentral
UUUUUCGGUGGGGGAUGUGCUCGCGGCCUAUCAGCUUGUUGGUGGGGUAAUGGCCUACCAAGGCUUCGACGGGUAGCCGGCCUGAGAGGGUGACCGGCCACACUGGGACUGAGACACGGCCCAGACUCCUACGGGAGGCAGCAGUGGGGAAUAUUGGACAAUGGGCGGAAGCCUGAUCCAGCAACGCCGCGUGAGGGAUGACGGCCUUCGGGUUGUAAACCUCUUUCAGCGGGGACGAAGCGCAAGUGACGGUACCCGCAGAAGAAGCACCGGCCAACUACGUGCCAGCAGCCGCGGUAAUACGUAGGGUGCGAGCGUUGUCCGGAAUUAUUGGGCGUAAAGGGCUCGUAGGCGGUUUGUCGCGUCGGGAGUGAAAACGCCGGGCUUAACUCGGUGCUUGCUUUUGAUACGGGCAGACUAGAGGCAUGCAGGGGAGAACGGAAUUCCUGGUGUAGCGGUGAAAUGCGCAGAUAUCAGGAGGAACACCGGUGGCGAAGGCGGUUCUCUGGGCAUGUCCUGACGCUGAGGAGCGAAAGUGUGGGGAGCGA